This is a non-coding RNA of Pyrenochaeta sp. MPI-SDFR-AT-0127, 103 nucleotides long. The record is from the annotation of a GenBank genome assembly. Lineage: Eukaryota; Fungi; Ascomycota; Dothideomycetes; Pleosporales; Cucurbitariaceae.
GGCCUGAUGGUCUAGUGGUAUGAUUGUCGCUUCGGGUGCUCUUGCCCGGAUACACGGUAUCUGUGAUUGUGACAGGCCCCGGGUUCGAAUCCCGGUCAGGCCC